RNAcentral lists this transfer RNA (78 nucleotides) under Anaeromyxobacter sp. PSR-1. Its description in RNAcentral is "tRNA-Ala". Lineage: Bacteria; Pseudomonadati; Myxococcota; Myxococcia; Myxococcales; Anaeromyxobacteraceae. The record is from RNAcentral.
CUGGCGGGGAGCGCCGCGUUCGGCGCCGCGCGGCGCGCUGGCGACGCGCCGGCCGCGAUCGCGUUCGCGCCGCCGGGC